UACAGAGGGGGCAAGCGUUGUUCGGAAUUACUGGGCGUAAAGGGCUCGUAGGCGGCCAACUAAGUCGGAUGUGAAAUCCCCAGGCUCAACCUGGGAACUGCAUCCGAUACUGGAUGGCUUGAAUUCGGGAGAGGGAUGCAGAAUUCCAGGUGUAGCGGUGAAAUGCGUAGAUAUCUGGAGGAAUACCGGUGGCGAAGGCGGCAUCCUGGACCGACAUUGACGCUGAGGAGCGAAAGCUAGGGGAGCAAACGGG
RNAcentral lists this ribosomal RNA (253 nucleotides) under uncultured bacterium. RNAcentral's name for it is "partial 16S ribosomal RNA". It matches the Rfam family "Bacterial small subunit ribosomal RNA", at positions 524 to 776 of the family's 1533-position model. The record is from RNAcentral.